AGAGCGAACGCUGGCGGCAGGCCUAAUACAUGCAAGUCGAACGCACCUUCGGGUGAGUGGCGGACGGGUGAGUAACACGUGGGAACGUGCCUUUUGGUUCGGAAUAAUCCGGGGAAACCUGGCCUAAUACCGAAUGUGCCCUUCGGGGGAAAGAUUUAUCGCCAUUAGAGCGGCCCGCGUCUGAUUAGCUUGUUGGUGGGGUAAUGGCCCACCAAGGCUACGAUCAGUAGCUGGUCUGAGAGGAUGAUCAGCCACACUGGGACUGAGACACGGCCCAGACUCCUACGGGAGGCAGCAGUAGGGAAUCUUGCGCAAUGGGCGAAAGCCUGACGCAGCCAUGCCGCGUGAAUGAUGAAGGUCUUAGGAUUGUAAAAUUCUUUCAGCGGGGAAGAUAAUGACUGUACCCGCAGAAGAGCUCCGGCUAACUCGCGCCAGCACGCCGC
RNAcentral lists this ribosomal RNA (443 nucleotides) under uncultured bacterium. RNAcentral's name for it is "SSU rRNA". It matches the Rfam family "Bacterial small subunit ribosomal RNA", at positions 26 to 518 of the family's 1533-position model. The record is from RNAcentral.